GCCAAAGAGCAAAGAACAAGAAAACAAAACUUUGUAGAUUGCGCUCUGGGCGGAGGAAGAAUGUUGUGCUUUUCUCCCUUUUUCAUGCCUUUCGUUUACCUUUUUCCUCUAUCGAUGUCUCCGCUCUCUACACCGCCCAUCCAUCCAACUCUCCAACGCCAUUAAAUUUUGGUUAUAAAACAGCCAUGAAUGCCCAAAAGCAAAUGAAUCAUCUUCCCAUUUAAUGUUUUUUCAGCUUGGAGGCAGGGGAGAUUUGGUGUGUUCUUAGGAGUAGCCCUUCUUACAGAAGAUAAGUUGGUCUCUGAGAUGCAGAUGAAGCUGGAGUCUGAGUUUCAUGGAUCCUGGCCUGGAUCAUGCAUGAUUCCUGCUUCACCUCCAUUAAUGCUUUCAUUGUGGUUUUUGCAUGUCUGCCCUGUCAUUUCUCCCUGCCAAGACUCUAUAUAUUUUUGUUAGGAGGAUAUAUAUUUUGAAUUCUUUUAGAUUGUUGUUAUUUAGUGUUUUGGGUGUAUGAAUCAUUCAUGGCUUAGAUUUUGAUGUUUGAAUCAUUUUAAAUUUUAAAUUUAAUGUUUGAAGAGUAUUCAUUUUGUCAAA
Molecule: long non-coding RNA, 591 nt
Organism: Cryptomeria japonica (Japanese cedar)
Lineage: Eukaryota; Viridiplantae; Streptophyta; Pinopsida; Cupressales; Cupressaceae
Exons: 2
Source: RefSeq, a predicted model, not a curated record